UAACCAUGAUAUGCUGCUAGGUGUCACUCAUGGUUUGUGGAAGCCCUAAACGUGUGUAAUCACUAAAGGGAGAAUUGAAAAUAGUUUCAAUUCACAAUCGAUGUAAAAUAGUUUUAAUCGCCCACUACCUCGCUAAAAGGAACCUAAUGGAUCGCACACCAUAAAAGGUAGAGAUUGAAGAUUAAACGGAAAUGAGUAAGAAUGAUUAAAUGGUUUAAUCAUUUAUUUAUGGCAAGGAUUAAUUAAUAUGUUAAUUAAUCAAACGAAUAAGUUCGUUAAAUGACUUCGGGAUAGUUUUGGACCUUAAGGCCCAAUGGGCUUCGAACGUCAAGCCCAUUAACUUAAGUUGUAUGACAAUUUAAUGAAUAAAGAUUCAUUAAAGCCCAAAAGCCCAAAACUCCCUAAAUGGCCGGCCAUAUUGUGAUGAAUUAGGGUUUUGGUUAUUUAGGUCACUUAAAGAAGUGACUAUAUAAAUGACUUUAUAGCCAAAUAUUCAUUAAGGAUUAAAAGGGUUUAUUUUGGGGGAAAAUUGGUGAGAAUUGUCUCUCCAUUUUCUCUCUAAAGAGGCCAACACCUUGGAGGGUACAUCUAGCAAUCCUACUACUCCAAGGUCACUCAUUUUCUUCUACAAUCAAACCUUGGUGAAGAGACUUAGAGGUUCCCUAUUUUGGGAACUUGGAGAAACCUAUUUUUCCAUCCAAAUCCAUGGAUCUAAGAAGCAAGGAAUGAAGGCCCUAUCUCUUUGGGUGAUUAGCCUUUGCUUAUGCAAAGAGGAAUCUACAAAGGUAAUAAUUUCAACUCACUUUGUUUUGAGUUGAUUAAUGGUUCACCAAUCUACUAGGCUUUGAAUUUCAUGGUAAUGUUUUGUUUUUGAGUGCAUGCAAGCAUGAUUCCGCCUUUAAUUGUUAAUUGCAUGCUAUAUGAUGUUGCUCAAAUGAACAUGUUUUUCAAAAUAAAUCCUUCAUAUAUAUAUAUAUAUAUAUAUAUACAAGUAUAUGAUAUAUUAAUUUUGGAAAUGAAAAAGAAUACUUCUUCGUUAAAGUUAUGACUUUAAACAUUCUAUAACGAUAAAAUGUAUAUGGGAGACAUAGUCUAUAAACAUGGGAUGGAAAUCUAUAAUGAUAGAUUUCAGGAUAUAAUUGGAUUAUAUCAAGCCCUAAUGAUAGACAAAAGAUGCUAGGAAGUUUCUCGUAUGAUGAUAAACUUCAAUCAGAAGAACAACUCUAGUAAGACUAGGAGGUAGCUCUUCUCAAACGGAACGUACCCUUUGACUCCCAAAGAAAUAAUACUUAAAUAGAAUCCUUUAUAUACGCAGAAAAGUAAUUUACGUAUUUCAUAUUGUAUGAAAACAUUGAUAUGAGUUGUACCUAGAACGAUACAAGACAAUAUCAGUGCAAGCCCAGGAUCAGAACCAUGGCAACUGUCAAGUGAGUCCUUAAGUAUUUUAGAAAUACUAAAGGAUAGAUUUCUCAAAGAAUGAGGAAGAAUUAGAGUAACGUAAUGGAAGCGUAAAUGUAUUAGAUUAUGAAUCUAAUCCAUCAUUGGAUGUUUCUUCAUUAUGAAUGAAGAGAUAAUCAGAUAUCUCUUUAUUCUGACCAAAGAGAUAUUUGGAUGGAAACAUUAAAAGUAAUGACUUUAGUGUGUUCCAUUAUGAAUGCAAAAUAUAUUGCCAUAUAGAAGCUAACAACAAUGUUGUUUGGAUGGGAAAGUUCAUUUAUGAACUCUCUAUUCGGUUCCAACCAGAAAGUGUCUCUAGUGUACCGACACUACGACACUAAUGGGGCGAUAGCUCAAGCCAGGGAAUCAAGGUCUCAUCAAGAUCCGAACUUAAAUGAGAGACUGAACCACAUGAUUGAGAAUCAUGUAUAAUGGUGACGUCGUUAUUCUCAAGGUUGCUUCUAUGGAUAACAUAUAGAUAUCCAUUGUCUAGACCUACUACUUAGCCAUUUUUGAAAUGACUAAAGAAGAGGUAUCAUCACUGAUGACCAAGCUGAUUGGCUCUAGUGCAAGUGGAAGAUUGUUGGAAAUGUGCCUUAAAACCAAUCAUGUGAUGAUACUUUACGGACAUUUCACAUGUUAAACUAAUCUAGUUUAAUAUCAAGGGCAAAGAUUAUUGUUUUAAGCCGUCUCAUAUAAAUGUUAUAUGCUUAAACGAUAAGUCCAAGGAAUAUGUAAUUAGGAGAAUGUAAUUUAAACAAGUUAGAUUUAUGAGACCAUUCUCUUUCGUAUACAUAUCCUAAACGUUCCUGAUCAUAGUAUUGCCAAUUAGGCAUUGACAGUCCAUUAAGAUCAGUACGUGCUGUGUCUUCUCUCAUGGAGAGUGACUGGUCUCGAGUCAUUGGUGUGAUUGACACCAAGACAAGCAUGUAGGUGCUCAAUAGCGAAUGAGUCCACUGAACACGAUUAACGAGGAGUCCUCAUACUCAUGUCACAUGAGAAUUCAUGGUUAGGAUAAUGCAAAGUAGUCCUUUGACCUGAGGCAUCAUAGUUGUCUUGUGGUUAAGUCCUUGAUCUUUAACUAUGUCAAAGUCACUCCAUUCGAGGGUGUCCACGGCAUAGUUGGGGUUAAGCCACUUAACCAUGGAGGCAAGUAAAUGCGCAACAAGGGAUCUCUAACUUUCAAACCGUUUGAGGGAGAAUACUCUAUGAUAUGAUUAAGAAUCUCUGGCCAGAGUAUGAAUGAGAUUUAGGAAGUCAUUCCAAAUCACAUUCAAGGUAAUCAUAUAAGUAAAUGAAUCACAUUGGAUAGUAGACAUGAUUAAACUAUCAAUCCAAACAAUGUGGUCAAGAGUAUUGUAUUAGAGAAAGACCGUAUUGCAUUGUAAUCCUAAACUGAAUAGGUUCUCCACCUCUUCUGAUUAGCUUGGGUAACCAUGACAUACUGCUAGGUGUCACUCAUGGUUUGUGGAAGCCCUAAACGUGUAUAAUCCCUAAAGGGAGAAUUGAAAGUAAGUUUCAAUUCACAAUCGAUUUGAAAGAGUUCUAAUCGCCCACUGCCUCGCUAAAAGGAACCUAAUAGAUUGUACACCGUGUAAGGUAGAGAUUGAAGAAACAAUGGAGAUGAUUAAGAAUAAUUAAAUGGUUUAAUUAUUUAUGGCAAUGAUUAAUUAAUAUGUUAAUUAAUCAAACAAAUAAAGUUCGUUAAAGACCUCGGGUUAGUUUUGGGCCUCAAGGCCCAAUGAGCUUCGAACGUCAAGCCCAUUGACUUAAGUUGUAUGACAACUUAAUGACUAAAUGUUCACAAAGGCCCAAAUAGCCCAAUAACACCCUAUGGCCGGCCAUAUUGAUAAUGGAGUGGGUUUUGGACUUAUUACAAGUUUGUCAC
RNAcentral lists this long non-coding RNA (3325 nucleotides) under Malus domestica (apple). Its description in RNAcentral is "long non-coding RNA (MDOM_LNC005961)". The record is from RNAcentral. Lineage: Eukaryota; Viridiplantae; Streptophyta; Magnoliopsida; Rosales; Rosaceae.